UCGAGAAGUUAGAGAGAAGAGAGAGGUUCUGAGCGAUUGUAACCUAAAGGAUUGUUUCUCAGAGAUCUAGUGGAUUCCGGAGGUUUACUCCGGCGAGACGUAGGGAUUCCGGUUUGGAUCCUGAACUCGUUAAUCACGUGUGUUCUUUUUCUUUCUGUUCUCGUUUCGUUUUGUUCAUUGAUUCGAUUCAAUCGUUGAUCGUUAGCUGAAUCUAUCGGAUUACAUAACAAUCUCAGCUUAUAAAUAAAGAGAUACAGUGUAAGUGGUUCCUCAUGCAAUAUUGUUUUGCUAUCCCCGAACGGCUACGUCUUUGCAUCGCCCAAACCUCUUGUCAGAUUCCUCAAUUCAAAGUCCGGCGGACGGAAACUUCUCGUCUCCGUCGUCAGAGCUUCUUCUUCUGAUGCUGAUUGUAAUGCCGAAGAAUGUGCUCCCGAGAAAGAGGUUGGAACUGUGAGUAUGGAAUGGUUAGCUGGAGAGAAGACUAAAGUGGUGGGAACAUUCCCACCUCGGAAGCCUCGUGGUUGGACUGGCUAUGUUGAGAAAGAUACUGCUGGUCAGACUAAUGUUUACUCUAUUGAGGAAGAAGAAGAAUGAUGCAGAACCACACGUGUGAGUGGAGUGAAGAGCACGUGCGAAGGGGACACUGUGGAAACAUCUUGGAGACAACUUAUAUGGAAGCUAAUCUCGAUCGAACACGUGGAUGGCAUGGAUUAAGCGGCUUAGAAGGCCGUUGGAGGGUGUCUAUAUCAUGUGUUUUCUUCUUCCUUUUGAUUUAUCGAAUCGUUAUCAGAAAAAACUUGUAAAAAUCCCUAAAAAUAUUUGGCUGGGCUUCUCUCGCUUUGAGAGCUGGCUUGUCGAUUUGGUGUUUCAUGAAUACUAAAUUGAUUAUUUGGUGACUUGA
Molecule: non-coding RNA, 901 nt
Organism: Camelina sativa (false flax)
Lineage: Eukaryota; Viridiplantae; Streptophyta; Magnoliopsida; Brassicales; Brassicaceae
Source: RefSeq, a predicted model, not a curated record